AAAAACUUUUUUCAGCAGCUCUCAAAUUCUUCACUCUGACGGAUUCUUCAUUCUUCAUUACAUUAUACGUUUCUUUUCCUUUAACCUAAUAUCUUUCCAUAACUCACCACAAACCCUAGCCGUCGUUCUCUAUCGAAAAACGCUGAAUCCUAACGCCCAAAUUCAUCAUCUUCUUGACUAAAAUCUCGCAUCGAAUCGAGAUCCGUUUGUUCGCUGUUGUUGUUAACAUCGUCCUCUUCAAUCCUAAAGCUUUGGAAUCGAAUUUGACCCGACUACUGUUCGUGCUCCAGAGGCGAACCAGGAUUAGUUGCUUGCCGGUUAUCACGUGGAUUAGCAAGCAUUGGAACAUGCUACCUAAUGGGCAUCAUUAGGACUGUGUGCGCACCGGUAUUGAUCUAGAUAAGGUAUGUGAAAUGUGGUCGUAACUCGGUGUGAGCAUAGCUCUCGGACCAGUUGAGUAACUCGGUGUAGCUCAGCUCUCGGGACUCUGGUUAUGAAUUAAGAGUGGUCGGUGGUAACUCGGUGUAGCUCAGCUCUCGGGACCUGGCCUAUUGGAUUAUGGAAAUAUUUAGUAUUGUGGAUUAGGGUUCCAACUAUUAUUCGUAAUAUCAUUAUUAAAUGUUUUAAACGGUUUUAAAGGUUUUCCACUUAAUAAAUGUAGAUAGUGGUAUAAACUCAUCUCAGUAUAUCUGACGCCGUUGUUUUCCCAAUUUUCCCCAGGGUUAUGAUCUGAGAGAAUCUGGUGAUCUCCGCAUUUACUUCUCCUCGGAGCUGCAUUAAUAGUUCCUCAAGUUCAGGCUCAACAAUGCCCUGACGAGUUAUAUCCAACAUGAUGUGUUAUUGAACAAUGUUGGAGCGACUGCGAUAAGUGGGUUAAAGGAGUAAGAGGGUUUUGCAAAGGAAACGGACCCGGACAAUCAGCACCAUUUUCUUGUAAAUGCUCUUGUUAAAAAAACCAAUAGAGUUGUGUUGUUUUUACAGUUACUCAGAUAAUAAAUUAAAAUUGCGUGUUUAGUUU
This is a long non-coding RNA of Mercurialis annua (annual mercury), 1018 nucleotides long. RefSeq lists it as uncharacterized. The transcript has 4 exons. The record is from RefSeq and is a predicted model, not a curated record. NCBI's taxonomy places the organism in Eukaryota, Viridiplantae, Streptophyta, Magnoliopsida, Malpighiales, Euphorbiaceae.